Humulus lupulus (European hop) is the source of this 1044-nucleotide long non-coding RNA. RefSeq lists it as uncharacterized. Lineage: Eukaryota; Viridiplantae; Streptophyta; Magnoliopsida; Rosales; Cannabaceae. The record is from RefSeq and is a predicted model, not a curated record. The transcript has 2 exons.
UGAGAAGAAGUAGAAACACAUCAAGAGAGAGAGAGAGAUUGGUCCUGCCUCACAUUUCACUCAGGAAGUUGAGAAUAGGCCACUGAGAUCAUUCCAAUUCCAGUCGGAUCUGAAGAAAUUGAAAUUCCAGGCAAUGGAAUGCUAUGCAAGUGAUAGAGAAGGGAAGAGAGAUAACAAAACAAAAAGAUUCCAAAGCAUGCCAAUUAUAAAGUAGCAGAUGUAAAAUUUGUCUGUGGGUGACAAUUACUAUAGGUAUAGGAGUUAACAAGAGAGAAUCCCAAGUCCAAUUGUCAGCAAGAUAAUUACAACAUACCGCAUCUGACAUAUCGCAAUGAAGCUUAGUUACAGAGUCACCCCUUCCGAGUUCUUCUUCAAUGCCGUAAGCAAUGUAUGUUUUUGGACCCAAGUCUGGUUUUAAGACACCUGUAGGCAACUUCACAGCAAGGUUGAGGAUACCAGCCCUUGGAUCUGUGUACUCUUUAAAAGGCAGAGCACUAAUAAAUUCUUCCCCAUGGCGUGGCAAAAGAUUUUCAAAUUUAUCUGACGGAGGCCAGUCCUUUAAUUUAAGCAUUUCUGGCCAUAAGUUAUAAUAAGUUCUUCCUUCAGUAUAGCCUUCAAAAAACUGACGAGUAUUAAUUUCCACCUGAAAAGUUUACACAGAAAAACAUAAAAGGGUUAAUUAGAAUUUUAAAAUAAUAAUAAAUAAAAAACUCCACAGAAUAACAAACAAUAGAGACCUUUGUAGUUGUAGCAAAAAGUUCAAGUAAUGCAUAAACAACUUGAACUUAAUUUUUUUCUAAAAAUGUAAAACAAUGUCAAAAGGACAACAGAACCAAACCUCGCAACCAGUCAAGCAGUCAAUGGCCUUUACGUCCAAAUAAUUUGUUCCAGCCUCUGCUCCUGGAUUUUCACUUAGCGCACGCCACAUAACCAUUGGCUCCCAGCUCAAGCCACUAGCUUGUUCAAGAACAUUUCGAACAAUAACCGGUUUGCCAUUAGCCCAGUGCUUCUGGAAGUGGAAAAGCCCUUCCUUUAGGACAUCAU